UCCGGGGGGUGCGAUCGUUAUUCGGAAUCAUUGGGCGUAAAGGGCGCGUAGGCGGUCUUUUAAGUCAGAUGUGAAAGCCCUCGGCUUAACCGAGGAAGUGCAUUUGAUACUAAGAGACUUGAGUAUGGGAGAGGGAAGCGGAAUUCCUGGUGUAGCGGUGAAAUGCGUAGAUAUCAGGAGGAACACCGGUGGCGAAGGCGGCUUCCUGGACCAAUACUGACGCUGAGGCGCGAAGGCGUGGGGAGAAAACAGG
This 253-nucleotide ribosomal RNA is filed under the name uncultured bacterium. RNAcentral's name for it is "partial 16S ribosomal RNA". It matches the Rfam family "Bacterial small subunit ribosomal RNA", at positions 524 to 776 of the family's 1533-position model. The record is from RNAcentral.